CCUACGGGAGGCAACAGUGAGGAAUAUUGGUCAAUGGGCGUAAGCCUGAACCAGCCAAGUCGCGUGAGGGAUGAAGGUUCUAUGGAUCGUAAACCUCUUUUAUAAGGGAAUAAAGUGUGGGACGUGUCCUGUUUUGUAUGUACCUUAUGAAUAAGGAUCGGCUAACUCCGUGCCAGCAGCCGCGGUAAUACGGAGGAUCCGAGCGUUAUCCGGAUUUAUUGGGUUUAAAGGGUGCGUAGGCGGCCUUUUAAGUCAGCGGUGAAAGUCUGUGGCUCAACCAUAGAAUUGCCGUUGAAACUGGGAGGCUUGAGUAUGUUUGAGGCAGGCGGAAUGCGUGGUGUAGCGGUGAAAUGCUUAGAUAUCACGCAGAACCCCGAUUGCGAAGGCAGCCUGCCAAGCCACGACUGACGCUGAUGCACGAAAGCGUGGGGAUCAAACAGGAUUAGAUACCCCAGUAGUC
RNAcentral lists this ribosomal RNA (460 nucleotides) under uncultured bacterium. RNAcentral's name for it is "partial 16S ribosomal RNA". It matches the Rfam family "Bacterial small subunit ribosomal RNA", at positions 338 to 795 of the family's 1533-position model. The record is from RNAcentral.